ACCUGAGAGAGCUCAAUCACUAGAGCCUGAGACUCUUAAUAUCCGGGCUGUGGGUUCGAACCCCACAUUGGGCA
Molecule: non-coding RNA, 74 nt
Organism: Podarcis lilfordi (Lilford's wall lizard)
Lineage: Eukaryota; Metazoa; Chordata; Lepidosauria; Squamata; Lacertidae
Source: the annotation of a GenBank genome assembly